RNAcentral lists this ribosomal RNA (253 nucleotides) under uncultured bacterium. Its description in RNAcentral is "partial 16S ribosomal RNA". It matches the Rfam family "Bacterial small subunit ribosomal RNA", at positions 524 to 776 of the family's 1533-position model. The record is from RNAcentral.
UACGAACUGUGCAAACGUUAUUCGGAAUCACUGGGCUUAAAGGGUGCGUAGGCGGCUUAUCAAGUAGGGUGUGAAAGCCCCCGGCUUAACCGGGGAAUUGCGCCCUAAACUGACGAGCUGGAGUGGGACAGGGGUGUGUGGAACUUCCGGUGGAGCGGUGAAAUGUGUUGAUAUCGGAAGGAACGCCGGUGGCGAAAGCGACACACUGGGUCCCAACUGACGCUGAGGAACGAAAGCCAGGGGAGCAAACGGG